This 465-nucleotide ribosomal RNA is filed under the name uncultured bacterium. RNAcentral describes it as "partial 16S ribosomal RNA". It matches the Rfam family "Bacterial small subunit ribosomal RNA", at positions 28 to 507 of the family's 1533-position model. The record is from RNAcentral.
GACGAACGCUGGCGGCGUGCUUAACACAUGCAAGUCGAACGGAAAGGCCCCUUUGGGGGUACUCGAGUGGCGAACGGGUGAGUAACACGUGAGUAACCUGCCCUUGACUUCGGGAUAACUUCAGGAAACUGGGGCUAAUACCGGAUAGGAAUCCUUGCUGCAUGGUGGGGGUUGGAAAGCUUCGGCGGUUUUGGAUGGACUCGCGGCUUAUCAGCUUGUUGGUGGGGUAGUGGCUUACCAAGGCUUUGACGGGUAGCCGGCCUGAGAGGGCGACCGGCCACAUUGGAACUGAGAUACGGCCCAGACUCCUACGGGAGGCAGCAGUGGGGAAUAUUGCACAAUGGGCGGAGGCCUGAUGCAGCAACGCCGCGUGCGGGAUGACGGCCUUCGGGUUGUAAACCGCUUUCAGCAGGGGCGAAGCUUGUGGUGACGGUACCUGCAGAAGAAGCACCGGCUAACUACGUG